Molecule: ribosomal RNA, 494 nt
Filed under: Veillonella parvula
Lineage: Bacteria; Bacillati; Bacillota; Negativicutes; Veillonellales; Veillonellaceae
Description: bacterial SSU rRNA
Rfam family: Bacterial small subunit ribosomal RNA
Source: RNAcentral
GACGAACGCGGCGGCGUGCUUAACACAUGCAAGUCGAACGAAGAGCGACGGAAGCUUGCUUCUAUCAAUCUUAGUGGCGAACGGGUGAGUAACGCGUAAUCAACCUGCCCUUCAGAGGGGGACAACAGUUGGAAACGACUGCUAAUACCGCAUACGAUCUAAUCUCGGCAUCGAGGAUGGAUGAAAGGUGGCCUCUACAUGUAAGCUAUCACUGAAGGAGGGGAUUGCGUCUGAUUAGCUAGUUGGAGGGGUAACGGCCCACCAAGGCGAUGAUCAGUAGCCGGUCUGAGAGGAUGAACGGCCACAUUGGGACUGAGACACGGCCCAGACUCCUACGGGAGGCAGCAGUGGGGAAUCUUCCGCAAUGGACGAAAGUCUGACGGAGCAACGCCGCGUGAGUGAUGACGGCCUUCGGGUUGUAAAGCUCUGUUAAUCGGGACGAAAGGCCUUUCCUUGCGAAUAAGUGAAGAAAGGAAUUGACGGACCGGAAUAAA